GCGGGCGAGCGCCUCGCCAACCUGGUCAGGUCCGGAAGGAAGCAGCCACAACGAGCCCCGCUUGGGUCGAUGUC
This 74-nucleotide signal recognition particle RNA is filed under the name Asterionellopsis glacialis. Its description in RNAcentral is "partial Bacterial small signal recognition particle RNA". It matches the Rfam family "Bacterial small signal recognition particle RNA", at positions 13 to 80 of the family's 97-position model. From Rfam's summary of the family: The signal recognition particle (SRP) is a universally conserved ribonucleoprotein involved in the co-translational targeting of proteins to membranes. Archaeal SRP consists of a 7S RNA and homologues of the eukaryotic SRP19 and SRP54 proteins. The record is from RNAcentral. Lineage: Eukaryota; Bacillariophyta; Plagiogrammaphyceae; Rhaphoneidales; Asterionellopsidaceae.